RNAcentral lists this ribosomal RNA (1107 nucleotides) under Triticum aestivum (bread wheat). Its description in RNAcentral is "partial small subunit ribosomal RNA". Lineage: Eukaryota; Viridiplantae; Streptophyta; Magnoliopsida; Poales; Poaceae. The record is from RNAcentral.
AUGGAAGCGGGGAAGGAGGCGAGCAUGGAGAGGAACACCAAGUCGAGGCUUGACAUCCAUCCGGGGGCGACAGCCAGCCUAUUCACCGACGACCUCAUCCUGGAGAUCCUCUCCCGCCUCCCUGCCAGGUCCGUCUAUCGCUUCAAGUGCGUUUCCAUGCUCUGGCGCGACCUCAUCGCCGACCCCUCCAACCGCAAGAUGCUGCCUCAAACCCUCGCCGGCUUCCUCUACAUAUCCUACCGCAGCGGGCACCGCCACCACUUCGCCAGCGUCUCGGGCGGCGCAUCCCCCUUCGACCCUUCCCUCCCUUACCUGCAGCCUAACAUGGACGAGGGUAUUGCCCAGGUGAACGCCUGCAAUGGCCUCCUUCUCUACCGCCGCUACAAGAAAAACAUGGUGACCCCUUGGACAGAGGGUGAUUUCCAUUUUGUUGUGUGCAAUCCCGCCAACGGGAGGUGGGUGGAGCUGCCCCCUCAACCUCAACCGCCGGCGCCGGCAAACAUACAUUGCCCUACUGCAGGAGUGAACAUCUAUUCUUCGCGUACAAGAGCCUGGAGUCGUAUGGACAGUGGGAUUGUUGAGAAAGCUACCCUGUUGAGGAGUAAAUGUGUCUUUGUCGGCGGUAUGCUGUAUCUCAUGGGCAACCUGGAGGACAUCAACGGCAAGUAUGUCCUGGUGGGGGUGGAAAUGGAGGGGAAAGUGUGGAAGACUAUCCGCGUGCCAUAUGGUUCGAAGUUUGGUACCAUUGGAUCAUCGCAGGGGUGCUUACAUUAUGCUGUAGCUUCUGUUGAUGAUAACAAUGAAAUCCUAGUUUCUGAGAUAUCACUCUGGUGCCUCAAGGGUCAAGACAGUAAAGAAUUGGUCCUGAAGCAUACCACCAGCAUCGAUAAACUUAUGAGCAUGACUAGGAAGACGUACAGGGUGGUUGAGAUUCAUCCAGAUUGCGACACCAUUUUCCUGGUUUCAAAUGAAGGUGAUACCUUGGCAGCGUACGAUAUGCGACAUCAGAAAGUUGGUUAUAUACUUAAUCUUGAGAACAAUACACAACAAUUUCUACCCUAUGUUCCUCUGUUCUCAGAGCCAUUAGCAGAUGCAAAUGAGCAGUAG